AGGAUGUUGGGUUAAGUCCCGCGACGAGCGCAACCCCUAUUGUUAGUUGCCAUCAUUCAGUUGGGCACUCUAGCGAGACUGCCGGUAAUAAACCGGAGGAAGGUGGGGAUGACGUCAAAUCAUCAUGCCCCUUAUGACCUGGGCUACACACGUGCUACAAUGGUUGGUACAACGAGUUGCGAGUCGGUGACGGCGAGCUAAUCUCUUAAAGCCAAUCUCAGUUCGGAUUGUAGGCUGCAACUCGCCUACAUGAAGUCGGAAUCGCUAGUAAUCGCGGAUCAGCACGCCGCGGUGAAUACGUUCCCGGGCCUU
Molecule: ribosomal RNA, 312 nt
Filed under: uncultured Streptococcus sp.
Lineage: Bacteria; Bacillati; Bacillota; Bacilli; Lactobacillales; Streptococcaceae
Description: bacterial SSU rRNA
Rfam family: Bacterial small subunit ribosomal RNA
Source: RNAcentral